AGAGUUUGAUCCUGGCUCAGAUUGAACGCUGGCGGAAUGCUUUACACAUGCAAGUCGAACGGCAGCACGGACUUCGGUCUGGUGGCGAGUGGCGAACGGGUGAGUAAUAUAUCGGAACGUGUCCAAUAAUGGGGGAUAACUAGUCGAAAGACUAGCUAAUACCGCAUACGCCCUACGGGGGAAAGCAGGGGAUCUUCGGACCUUGCGUUAAUGGAGCGGCCGAUAUCUGAUUAGCUAGUAGGUGAGGUAAAGGCUCACCUAGGCGACGAUCAGUAGCUGGUCUGAGAGGACGACCAGCCACACUGGAACUGAGACACGGUCCAGACUCCUACGGGAGGCAGCAGUGGGGAAUUUUGGACAAUGGGCGCAAGCCUGAUCCAGCCAUUCCGCGUGAGUGAAGAAGGCCUUCGGGUUGUAAAGCUCUUUCGCAAGGAAAGAAAACUUACCUUCAAAUAAGGGUGAGGUUGACGGUACCUUGAUAAGAAGCACCGGCUAACUACGUGCCAGCAGCCGCGGUAAUACGUAGGGUGCGAGCGUUAAUCGGAAUUACUGGGCGUAAAGCGUGCGCAGGCGGUUUUGUAAGUCAGAUGUGAAAUCCCCGGGCUCAACCUGGGAACUGCGUUUGAAACUACAAGGCUAGAGUGUAGCAGAGGGGGGUAGAAUUCCACGUGUAGCAGUGAAAUGCGUAGAGAUGUGGAGGAAUACCAAUGGCGAAGGCAGCCCCCUGGGUUAACACUGACGCUCAUGCACGAAAGCGUGGGGAGCAAACAGGAUUAGAUACCCUGGUAGUCCACGCCCUAAACGAUGUCUACUAGUUGUUGGGAGAGUAAAAUCUCUUAGUAACGCAGCUAACGCGUGAAGUAGACCGCCUGGGGAGUACGGUCGCAAGAUUAAAACUCAAAGGAAUUGACGGGGGCCCGCACAAGCGGUGGAUUAUGUGGAUUAAUUCGAUGCAACGCGAAAAACCUUACCUGGCCUUGACAUGCUACUAACGACGCAGAGAUGCAUUAGGUGCCCGAAAGGGAAAGUAGACACAGGUGCUGCAUGGCUGUCGUCAGCUCGUGUCGUGAGAUGUUGGGUUAAGUCCCGCAACGAGCGCAACCCUUGCCAUUAAUUGCCAUCAUUUAGUUGGGCACUUUAAUGGGACUGCCGGUGACAAACCGGAGGAAGGUGGGGAUGACGUCAAGUCCUCAUGGCCCUUAUGGCCAGGGCUUCACACGUAAUACAAUGGUCGGUACAGAGGGUUGCCAACCCGCGAGGGGGAGCCAAUCCCAGAAAGCCGAUCGUAGUCCGGAUUGCAGUCUGCAACUCGACUGCAUGAAGUCGGAAUCGCUAGUAAUCGCGGAUCAGCAUGUCGCGGUGAAUACGUUCCCGGGCCUUGUACACACCGCCCGUCACACCAUGGGAGUGGGUUCCACCAGAAGUAGUUAGUCUAACCGCAAGGAGGACGAUUACCACGGUGGGAUUCAUGACUGGGGUGAAGUCGUAACAAGGUA
This 1496-nucleotide ribosomal RNA is filed under the name metagenome. RNAcentral describes it as "bacterial SSU rRNA". It matches the Rfam family "Bacterial small subunit ribosomal RNA". The record is from RNAcentral.